Oryzias melastigma (Indian medaka) is the source of this 764-nucleotide long non-coding RNA. RefSeq lists it as uncharacterized. The transcript has 3 exons. The record is from RefSeq and is a predicted model, not a curated record. NCBI's taxonomy places the organism in Eukaryota, Metazoa, Chordata, Actinopteri, Beloniformes, Adrianichthyidae.
CUGUAAAUGUGAUGUUACUUUAAAUGUUGUGUUUAGCCAGUAGAGGGCAGUGUAGCGGAAGUUAUCGCUGGACAUUUACUUUGAAAAAACGCAAGGCAAUCGUCUUCCUGUUUAGAUUUCCAACUUCGCCUUUGAUUCUGCGUUUAAGACAAAUUAUCCGUGAAGUUAUAAGCAGCAAAUGAGCCUGCCACGCUCAGCACCAGCUCACAGAAAAGUGCUAUGGAAAGGAGGAGUACCUUCCUUCGGGACAUUUUUCCUCACUGAAGACAAAGAAAAAGAGUGGAUGCACAUUAACCAGAACAUUUGCUUCAAACGAACCACUUGGCUGUUCUCCAGCUGCUGAGGUCUCAGAAAAAUCCCACACAUCCAUCUCUGUACAACGCACAAACGGCUAAAACAAAGGAGAAUUCUGGAAAGGGAGACAUAGGAGCACAUUAAGACACACAAGGUAAGGAUUCAGACAAUUUAUAGGAAGGUUGUGAAUUGGAUUUUGUUUUUUUUUUCUUGGCAACAACAAGAAAAUUCCUGGACGAUAUGGUUCUAGUCUAGUUCAUUCGCCUAAGCACUCUGAUUUAGACUCUGGUCCAGUAAACUGCCCAGUUGAGAUAGAGUCACCGUUAGGCUAAAAAUAAACAAAGAAAGUUUUAACUGCCUUAAAUUAGGUAAUUUUCUCUCAACUGCAGUUAUUACUUUAAAUUAUUUAAGUUACAAUCCUGUACUUCAAAUGAAGACAGAAGCUUCACACUGUAGAAUAUGAAGAAAAA